This 430-nucleotide ribosomal RNA is filed under the name Pseudomonadota bacterium. RNAcentral describes it as "Proteobacteria bacterium partial 16S ribosomal RNA". It matches the Rfam family "Bacterial small subunit ribosomal RNA", at positions 355 to 776 of the family's 1533-position model. Lineage: Bacteria; Pseudomonadati; Pseudomonadota. The record is from RNAcentral.
UGGGGAAUAUUGGACAAUGGGCGCAAGCCUGAUCCAGCCAUGCCGCGUGUGUGAAGAAGGCCUUAUGGUUGUAAAGCACUUUAAGCGAGGAGGAGGCUCUUCUAGUUAAUACCUAGGAUGAGUGGACGUUACUCGCAGAAUAAGCACCGGCUAACUCUGUGCCAGCAGCCGCGGUAAUACAGAGGGUGCGAGCGUUAAUCGGAUUUACUGGGCGUAAAGCGUGCGUAGGCGGCUGAUUAAGUCGGAUGUGAAAUCCCUGAGCUUAACUUAGGAAUUGCAUUCGAUACUGGUCAGCUAGAGUAUGGGAGAGGAUGGUAGAAUUCCAGGUGUAGCGGUGAAAUGCGUAGAGAUCUGGAGGAAUACCGAUGGCGAAGGCAGCCAUCUGGCCUAAUACUGACGCUGAGGUACGAAAGCAUGGGGAGCAAACAGG